This 503-nucleotide ribosomal RNA is filed under the name uncultured bacterium. RNAcentral describes it as "bacterial SSU rRNA". It matches the Rfam family "Bacterial small subunit ribosomal RNA", at positions 28 to 508 of the family's 1533-position model. The record is from RNAcentral.
AGCGAACGCUGGCGGCGUACUUAACACAUGCAAGUCGAACGAGGAUCUUCGGUGUAGCAAUACAUUGGCGGUCCUAGUGGCGCACGGGUGAGUAACACGUGGGUGACCUGCCCUUGAGUUCGGGAUACCCCCUCGAAAGGGGGGCUAAUACCGGAUACGUUCCUCGAUCGAAAGAUCGGGGAGGAAAGGUGGCGCAAGCUGCCGCUCUUGGAGGGGCUCGCGGCCUAUCAGCUAGUUGGCGGGGUAACGGCCCACCAAGGCUAUGACGGGUAGCUGGUCUGAGAGGACGACCAGCCACACGGGGACUGAGACACGGCCCCGACUCCUACGGGAGGCAGCAGUGGGGAAUUUUCCGCAAUGGGCGAAAGCCUGACGGAGUGACGCCGCGUGUGGGACGAAGGCCUUCGGGUCGUAAACCACUGUCAGUGGGAAAGAUGGGUGUCGGUGCUAAUACCGCCGGCACUUGACGGUACCUGCAGAGGAAGCCCCGGCCAACUCUGUGC